AGGUGAGUGCUUGUUCGCCGCUUAGUGGUAGUUUUAUUGGAAAAUCACUUAGUAAUUUAUAAAACGUGGGGCAUCGUCUAUUUAUAGUCUUAAUAUAAUUAUUUAUAGCAGACUAUCCUCCCCCGCUCAUUCACACCUCACUCCGUAUAUUCCCGACAUGCCUCGCUAACAAUAUGGCGUCGAUCCCUGGUCUGCGAUAACAACACGGAAUACACACACAACACUGUCAGCCUCUGUGAUGAGAUAUUAUUAUGAAUGAUCUAUGAAGAGAAGUACACAUUGUUUGAGAGCAUGGCAGAAUGCUCAAGCAUCCCAUCUGAUAGUGACAAUGAAGAUGACACCAAGCUUCCCCAGUUUUCUUUCCAUAAACAAACAUCAUACAGGAAAGCUAUUUCCAAAAAUGCAUUGAACCAUGCAGCCAAUUAUUUACAUCCUACCCACGCUGAG
RNAcentral lists this unclassified non-coding RNA (447 nucleotides) under Mizuhopecten yessoensis (Yesso scallop). Its description in RNAcentral is "uncharacterized LOC110451796, transcript variant X3". The record is from RNAcentral. Lineage: Eukaryota; Metazoa; Mollusca; Bivalvia; Pectinida; Pectinidae.